RNAcentral lists this small nuclear RNA (106 nucleotides) under Echinops telfairi (small Madagascar hedgehog). The record is from RNAcentral. Lineage: Eukaryota; Metazoa; Chordata; Mammalia; Afrosoricida; Tenrecidae.
GUGCUCACUUUGGCAGCACAGAUACUAAAAUUUGAAUGAUACAGAGAAGAAUAGCAUAGCUUUGUGCAAGGGUGGCAUAUAAAUUCAUGAAGUGCUUCAUAGAUGU